Molecule: long non-coding RNA, 1108 nt
Organism: Numida meleagris (helmeted guineafowl)
Lineage: Eukaryota; Metazoa; Chordata; Aves; Galliformes; Numididae
Source: Ensembl
CUCCACCAGUGUCACCUCCAGCGCUGUCACCUCCACCAAUGUCACCCCCACUGGUGUCACCACCACCGAUGUCACCUCCACUGGUGUCACCUCCACCGAUGUCACCUCCACCGCUCCAGCCACCACCUCAGCAGGGACCUCCACUGUCUCUUCUGCUACUGAGGGAACCCCAACUGCUGUCACCUCCACCAGUGUCACCCCCACUGAUGUCACCUCCACUGCUCCUGCCACCACCUCAGGAGGAUCCUCUGCUGUCUCCUCUUCUACUGAGGGAACCACCACUGCUGUCACCUCCACUGGUGGCACCACCACAGAUGUCACCUCCACCAGUGUCACCCCCACAUCAUCUCCCACUGCCUCAGGAGCGUCCUCUACAGCCUCUUCCACAACCCUGCAAGGACCCUCCACCGCUGUCACCUCCACCAGUGUCACCUCCACCAGUGUCACCUCCACUGCUCCUGCCACCACCUCAGCAGGGACCUCCACUGUCUCCUCUACUACUGAGGGAACCCCCACCACUGUCACCUCCACAGACGUCACCUCCAUCAGUGUCACCUCCACUGGUGUCACCUCCACAGAUGGCUCCUCCACUGGUGGCACCACCACGGAUGUCACCUCCACUGGUGUCACCUCCACCGGUGUCACCCCCACUGAUGUCACCUCCACUGCUCCUGCCACCACCUCAGGAGGAUCCUCCGCUGUCUCCUCUACUACUGAGGGAACCACCACUGCUGUCACCUCCAUCGCUGUCACCUCCACGGGUGUCACCACCACGGAUGGCACCUCCACAGAUGUCACCUCCAGCAAUGUCACCUCCACUGGUGUCCCCCCCACCGAUGUCACCUCCACUGCGCCUGCCACCACCUCAGCAGGGACCUCCGCUGUCUCCUCUACUACUGAGGGAACCUCCACCAGUGUCACCUCCACCAGCGUCACCUCCACCGAUGUCACCUCCACCGGUGUCACCUCUACUGCUGUCACCUCCACUGCUUCUGCCACCACCUCAGCAGGGACCUCCAUUGUCUCCUCUACUACUGAGGGAACCCCCACCACUGUCACCUCCACAGAUGUCACCUCCACCAGUGUCACCUCCACUGGUGUCACCUCC